Molecule: ribosomal RNA, 480 nt
Filed under: Triticum aestivum (bread wheat)
Lineage: Eukaryota; Viridiplantae; Streptophyta; Magnoliopsida; Poales; Poaceae
Description: partial small subunit ribosomal RNA
Source: RNAcentral
AUGAGUGUUUUAAGCUGGAACUGCCCGGGGCUUGGGAACCCCGAGGCAGUUCGGGAGCUUCGCAGUAUAGUGAAGCUUGAAGACCCCUCCCUUCUCUUUGUAAUGGAAACUAAAAUCAAAGCAAAAAGAGUUGAGGAUCUGAAGUUUACGCUUGGUUUUGCAGGCAGUUUUGCAGUUGACAGUGUUGGCCUUAGUGGCGGCAUAGGUCUUUUUUGGUCCAGAGAUGUGACCGUUGAUUUGAAAUUUUUUAGUAAGAAUCAUAUUGAUGUAUUGGUUCAUAGCAAUAAUCAGAACGCUUAUGUUUGGCGUUUUACUGGUUUUUACGGAGCACCGCGAGCGGAAGAGAGACACCACAGUUGGCGGUUCUUGCGUACUUUGCAUACAUACCCCAUAGUGCCUGGUUGUGCAUGGGAGAUUGUAAUGAAACUUUGUAUGCAUGUGAGCACUUCAGCAGAGCAGCACGGUCUGAAACUCACAUGA